ACAUCGGUAGCACAGUGGUUACUGCAGUCUGCCGGAGACAGAGAGACGCGGGUUCAACUCCCGUCCGAUGUC
This 72-nucleotide transfer RNA is filed under the name Nippostrongylus brasiliensis. It matches the Rfam family "tRNA". From Rfam's summary of the family: Transfer RNA (tRNA) molecules are approximately 80 nucleotides in length. Their secondary structure includes four short double-helical elements and three loops (D, anti-codon, and T loops). The record is from Rfam by way of RNAcentral. Lineage: Eukaryota; Metazoa; Nematoda; Chromadorea; Rhabditida; Heligmosomidae.